This is a long non-coding RNA of Eucalyptus grandis, 860 nucleotides long. RefSeq lists it as uncharacterized. NCBI's taxonomy places the organism in Eukaryota, Viridiplantae, Streptophyta, Magnoliopsida, Myrtales, Myrtaceae. The record is from RefSeq and is a predicted model, not a curated record. The transcript is spliced from 2 exons.
AUCCCCAAUUCUUUUGUCAUGUUGUUCAAUCAUCCCUUCUUACGUACAUCCUCACGUUAAAAAAGCAAAAAAAUUAUUGAGGGGCAGACCAAAGCACACUGUAGGGACCAGGGAGCCAUUAUAACGAGAGGCCAGCACUCCAGUGGAAUUCGCAUUUCUUUGGAAGUUGUGUAGGAUUGUAGCGAAAAUAUCAGUCCCCAGUUUGGUCAGUUCUUCUUGCAAAGACUCACCGCUUGCGUUGUACUGCAAUAGGGUUUUCCUGAUGGAGAGCAAUAACUGUCCACAAGGUUGCCCGAGUUUCCAGUACUUCCCUCCUCCAUCGGCAAGGGACGUUCCGGUUUCUGUAUCUUUGGAACGCGAGAUUUCUGUGUGCCGGGAGACUUCGAGGUGGAUCACCGUCAGCGUGGUCAUCGUUGUUGCCGUCGUAGCCACCGGUGUUGUUAUAAAAAAAUCGCCGUGGUCCUCAGGAUAGAAUCCCAUGGAAGACUAAGAUUCCAACAAUAAGCCUAAUGCUGCAGCCAUCGCCGGGAAGGCGCCGAAGGAGGCGGAGGCAGAGCUGAAAAAGGUGGAAGCGAAGGAGUCGGAGGCGGAGCCGAAAAAGGCGGAGGCACAGCUGAAGGAGGCGCCACCGCUGUGCUGUCCAUGUUAUACGCCAUCGCUGCCGUGCUGUCCAUUUCAUCCAUGUUGUUGUCAUCAGAUAAAUAAUUUACCAUACAUGGUAAUUGAAUGAUGCAUAAUGAUAGAUCAUCUAUACUUAGCAUUGGCACUUCUAAGUCCUAUGAAUUGUAAUUUGAAUUUUCAAUCCAAUUGUGCAAUUGUCUUGGAGACGCCAAUAAUUUAUGAUAAAUAAAUUAGCAAUC